RNAcentral lists this ribosomal RNA (439 nucleotides) under uncultured bacterium. RNAcentral describes it as "bacterial SSU rRNA". It matches the Rfam family "Bacterial small subunit ribosomal RNA", at positions 954 to 1392 of the family's 1533-position model. The record is from RNAcentral.
GCUAAACGCGAAGAACCUUACCAAGGCUUGACAUAUACGAGAACGCUCUAGAAAUAGAGAACUCUUUGGACACUCGUAUACAGGUGGUGCAUGGUUGUCGUCAGCUCGUGUCGUGAGAUGUUGGGUUAAGUCCCGCAACGAGCGCAACCCUUGUCCUUAGUUGCCAGCGAGUAAUGUCGGGAACUCUAAGGAGACUGCCGGUGACAAACCGGAGGAAGGUGGGGAUGACGUCAAAUCAUCAUGCCCCUUAUGUCUUGGGCUUCACGCAUGCUACAAUGGCCGGUACAAAGGGCUGCAAUACCGUAAGGUGGAGCGAAUCCCAAAAAGCCGGUCUCAGUUCGGAUUGAGGUCUGCAACUCGACCUCAUGAAGUCGGAGUCGCUAGUAAUCGCAGAUCAGCAACGCUGCGGUGAAUACGUUCCCGGGUCUUGUACACACCG